RNAcentral lists this microRNA (21 nucleotides) under Homo sapiens (human). RNAcentral describes it as "hsa-miR-6745". Lineage: Eukaryota; Metazoa; Chordata; Mammalia; Primates; Hominidae. The record is from miRBase by way of RNAcentral.
UGGGUGGAAGAAGGUCUGGUU